GCACUAACUAAAAAAAGCUAAUAUGGUUUAGAGAAUUAAAAGCCACCUGUGAAUAGAUUUUGUCAUUUUAUAAAAUUCAUAACGUUAAAUGGAGCAUGUUAAAAGAAAUCUCGUUUGGUCUAAAGGGAUAUUAUAGCCACUUGUGAUGUACUGAAUCAAAGUUGUCUGUUGGAGUUACUCAGUGAUGCCUGAAGUACGUGAUACAUAAAGUAUUGUAUAUAGAUUAUUUUGAUUGGGCAGAAGAUGAAUAAACCUUCUUGUUAGAUGCAAAAGGAAUCUCAACGUGUGUGUUUCAUCUUUUCUAUGUCGCAGAGUCACACAUUGAAAGAACGAAAUUUAUACAUUAACCUGAGCCCAUCCAAGGUUGGUGGGUAACAUAGCUAAGCUAUAUGCUUCAAAUUUCUAAUUUGUAAUCCAUGACUUCUUUUAUGCUUGGGAUAUAAAAUGCUUGUAAAGUACCACUGAGGGUCUGCUGUGUUUUGGGCAUGUUUUUCUUCCAAGGGACCUUGAAACUUUGUUGAAAUGGAUUCUAACACUCAGGUGGAUUUUAUUUGAAAACUAAAAGCUAGUAGUCAUAUGGAUUUAUAAUAGGACUUGCCAAAUCUGUGCAGAAAUGCUUCAAAAAGACACAAAUUUAAUCUUUUCUCAUGGUAAUUUCAGUUCCCAGAAAUAAAGAAAGUUGAGUAGAGCUGAAGAAAUCAUGAGAGAGGACGCAGGAUUCUGAACGAUCAAGAGAGAUUCUCCAAAGAUCCUGUUUCCUAUAUGCUCCAUCGAUGUGAAAUGUUCAGUAGAGAAGUGCUUCUCUGCUGACAGAAGUUCACUCACCACCACUGACGUCCCAGUUACUGCAGUCUCUCUUGUCCAUUUUUAUUGACAGCUAGAGACAUGUUGUCCCACUGGGAGUUUCUCCAGGACAGCUUUGAUUUGCUGCUCCGUUGCAAGGCAGGCUAUGUUAAGAAAGGUCAGAAAAGACAGAGGCAGAAGGCUCUAGUCUUGGCCCUCUCCGAGAGAAACAGAAGGACACUCCGAGCCUGCCUCCCACCCGCCCUAGUGUAGGCAGUUGGGGGCAAAAGCUGUGGCAAGACUGUGGAU
Molecule: long non-coding RNA, 1092 nt
Organism: Gambusia affinis (western mosquitofish)
Lineage: Eukaryota; Metazoa; Chordata; Actinopteri; Cyprinodontiformes; Poeciliidae
Exons: 3
Source: RefSeq, a predicted model, not a curated record